This 162-nucleotide ribosomal RNA is filed under the name Cypripedium flavum. RNAcentral's name for it is "5.8S ribosomal RNA subunit". It matches the Rfam family "5.8S ribosomal RNA". Rfam says of the family: 5.8S ribosomal RNA (5.8S rRNA) is a component of the large subunit of the eukaryotic ribosome. The record is from RNAcentral. Lineage: Eukaryota; Viridiplantae; Streptophyta; Magnoliopsida; Asparagales; Orchidaceae.
GAUGACUCUCGGCAACGGAUAUCUUGGUUCUUGCAUCGAUGAAGAACGCAGCGAAAUGCGAUAAGUGGUGUGAAUUGCAAAAUCCCGUGAACCAUCGAGUCUUUGAACGCAAGUUGCGCCCAAGGCCAUCAGGCUAAGGGCACGCCUGCCUGGGCGUCUGGU